UUCCAUGAAAUCUUCCAAAAAUAACCAUGAAAGUGUCGAAUAUCAGAUGCCAUCAUGAAUAACCUCACCUCCAGAUUGAACUCCUAAACAUCUUGACAAUGACUAUCUACUGAGAUAUCUUGCCUUCUUGAGAUUGGAAGUUUUAAGUUCAAGUCAGAGUGACCUAAGGCCCUACUAACAAGAAGAAUCCAGAUUUACAUAAA
Long non-coding RNA from Lytechinus variegatus (green sea urchin), 203 nucleotides. RefSeq lists it as uncharacterized. The record is from RefSeq and is a predicted model, not a curated record. The transcript is spliced from 2 exons. NCBI's taxonomy places the organism in Eukaryota, Metazoa, Echinodermata, Echinoidea, Temnopleuroida, Toxopneustidae.